Molecule: ribosomal RNA, 952 nt
Filed under: uncultured bacterium
Lineage: Bacteria
Description: bacterial SSU rRNA
Rfam family: Bacterial small subunit ribosomal RNA
Source: RNAcentral
GGGGGGUGUUAAACCCCCCUUUUCAGGGGGGGGAAGAAUAAACUGCAGGGGAGGGAAAUGGCCCCUUGGCCGACGACGGUAUCCCCCAGAAGAAAGGGGACGGAUAACUCCUGUGCCAGCAGCCGCGGUAAAACAGAGGUCCCGAGCGUUACCCGGAUUCGCUGGGCGUAAAGUGCGCGUAGGCGGCCCUGUAUGUCGUCUGUGAAAGCUCCCGGCUCAACCGGGAGAGGCCGGGCGAAACUACAGGGCUGGAGCCUCGGAGGGGGAAGCGGAACCUGCUGGAGUAGCGGUGAAAUGCGCAGAUACCGGCAGGUACCUCAAUAGCGAAGGCAGCUUCCUGGCCGAGCGCUGACGCUGAGGCGCGAAAGCGUGGGGAGCGAACCGGAUUAGAUACCCGGGUAGUCCACGCCCUAAACGAUGCCCGCUAGGUGUCGGCCCUUUGAACGAUAGGGUCGGUGCCGCAGCCAACGCGGUAAGCGGGCCGCACUGGGGAGUACGGUCGCCAGGCUGAAACUCAAGGGGAUUGACGGGGGCCCACACCAAGCCGGUGGAGCAUCUUGGUUCAAUUCGAUGAUAAGCGAAGUACCUUACCCGGGCUUGACAUGCCGGCAGAAGCCUGCCCGAAAGGGCGGGGUGGAAGGGUCCUUCGGGGCCUGGAGGCCGGCACAGGUGCUGCAUGGUCUGUCAUCAGCUCGUGCCGUGGGGCGUCGGGUUAAGUCCCGCAACGAGACGCAACCCCUGCCCCUAGUUGCCAGCUCCUCGGGAGGGCUACUCUAGGGGGACCGCCGGCGACAAGCCGGAGGAAGGAGGGGAUGACGUCAAGUCCGUAUGGCCCUUAUGCCCGGGGCGACACAGAUGGUGACAGUGGGGGGUACAGUGGGAAGCGAAGCCGCAAGGCGGAGCCAAUCCCUAAAAGCCCCUCGAGGUUCGGAUUGGGGUCUGCAAUCAGGAC